GUGAUCGAAAUGUACGAGUGGUUUAAUGAACCUAAAUGCAUUUCAAUGGUCCUGGAGUACCCCAAGCCUUGUGUAGUCCUGACUGACUUUGUAAGCAAGAAGGGCAAGCUGGCCGAACCUGUGGCACGAUGCCUGGUGCAACAGAUAGUCCUGGCAGUCCAGCAUUGCAUCGACAAAGGAAUCGUGCACAACGACCUGCAUUCUGACAACAUCCUGGUCAACAAGAAGACUAUGCAGAUCAAGCUGAUCGACUUCGGCUGCGCUUACAAAGUGGAAGCACACAACUACGAUAAAGCAGUCUUAUCUAGCGCCUGGGCUAUAGGCUGCCUGCUGCAUUACAUGAUGACCGGAGACUUGGUCAACUACUUCGAUGUUAAAGUCAAGGGCAAGAUUUCGCUUCCACCCAGCUUAAUGAGAGACUGCCGAGAUCUGAUCACAAAGUGUCUGAGACAAAACAUGACGCUUGAUCAGUUCUUACAACACGACUGGAUGAAGAGAGCGUAGAAUGAAGACGAGACCCGAUACAGAUGAAGAAAGCAGCAAGGUCUUCUGCAGAAAAUUAACAAAACAUUUCUAUAAAAAACUCAUAAAACCAACACAAACGUCAUAAAGAAGCCAAGAAGAACCCACAUCUAACUGAUCCAGAACCAGAGUCUGUCCUGAGACCCAAACACUGCAGGAUCAGCGUCGUCAUCAGUGCUAGGAAACGGCCUCUUCUGUGCAGGCAAAAAUGGAAACCCGUGAUGGACUCUGAGGAUGUGGAUGGUUAAAUCUGAGUGCAUUUUGAGGAGGACGUGAUGUUCCUCUAGAGGAUGAGGAUGAAGAAACACCAGCACCAGAACAAAGCAUUGGGUCAGGUUUAUAUGAUAAGCAGAAGGUUUAAAACAAUAAUGAAUUACAAAACUGUUAAAAAAUGAGCAAGCAUUACUAAUCUGGCAAAUAAAUCCCCUGAACACAAAUGAAGAGAACUUUAGAUGAAAUCAGAGAGCUCCCUCAUCCUUCAUGGACAGCAACAGCCCCAAGUUGCUCAGAAACAAAGUCCAGAA
Non-coding RNA from Danio rerio (zebrafish), 1046 nucleotides. Lineage: Eukaryota; Metazoa; Chordata; Actinopteri; Cypriniformes; Danionidae. The record is from Ensembl.